This 696-nucleotide ribosomal RNA is filed under the name uncultured bacterium. Its description in RNAcentral is "bacterial SSU rRNA". It matches the Rfam family "Bacterial small subunit ribosomal RNA", at positions 111 to 823 of the family's 1533-position model. The record is from RNAcentral.
UAACGCGUGAGUAACCUGCCUUCAAGAGGGGGAUAACAUUCUGAAAAGAAUGCUAAUACCGCAUGACAUAUCGGAACCACAUGGUUUUGAUAUCAAAGACUUUAUCGCUUGAAGAUGGACUCGCGUCCGAUUAGUUAGUUGGUGAGGUAACGGCUCACCAAGACCGCGAUCGGUAGCCGGACUGAGAGGUUGAACGGCCACAUUGGGACUGAGACACGGCCCAGACUCCUACGGGAGGCAGCAGUGGGGGAUAUUGCGCAAUGGGGGCAACCCUGACGCAGCAACGCCGCGUGAAGGAUGAAGGUUUUCGGAUUGUAAACUUCUUUUAUUAAGGACGAAAAUUGACGGUACUUAAUGAAUAAGCUCCGGCUAACUACGUGCCAGCAGCCGCGGUAAUACGUAGGGAGCAAGCGUUGUCCGGAUUUACUGGGUGUAAAGGGUGCGUAGGCGGCUUUGCAAGUCAGAUGUGAAAUCUAUGGGCUCAACCCAUAAACUGCAUUUGAAACUGUAGAGCUUGAGUGAAGUAGAGGCAGGCGGAAUUCCCCGUGUAGCGGUGAAAUGCGUAGAGAUGGGGAGGAACACCAGUGGCGAAGGCGGCCUGCUGGGCUUUAACUGACGCUGAGGCACGAAAGCGUGGGUAGCAAACAGGAUUAGAUACCCUGGUAGUCCACGCUGUAAACGAUGAUUACUAGGUGU